CCAUCUCGCCUGCCUUCGGAGCGUUCGCGAUCGAGAUUGCGAUCGUCAGCAGUGGCGGAGAGCCCCUCUCGAGUCCCCUCGCAGUCGGAAUCGAAGCUUUAUGGUGGAUUCCCUGGCGAAUUAGAUGAGCUCGUCAGAAUCCCCUUAUGGAGUCCUCCCGACCGACAUCGUCACACAGAUCCUCGCGCGGCUGCCCGUCUAUUCCCUCUUCCGAUGCAGGUCCGUCUGCAAGCUGUGGAACCGAUUGCCCUUUGAGAAGCACUUCGUCGACCUCUACUUCCGGAUCGGCCCCAAAGACCCCAUCUUGCUGUUGGAAUUCCCCGAGUCCAGCGCCUUCCUCUCGGUCGACCGAUUUCGGGGGGUCUCGGCCUUCUCCCUGGGAUUCUUGAACGAUAAGGUCAAGAUCAGGGCCUCCUGCAAUGGCUUGCUGUGCUGCUCCAGCGUUCGGAAUCGUGGCGUUUACUACGUCUGCAAUCCGGUCACCCGAGAGUUCCGUGUGCUGCCGAGAGCGAGGGAGAGGCCCCUCACUCGGUGCCAACCGGAGUACGAGGCUACCCUCGUCGGCUUGGCGUUUGAUCCCGUCUCUUGGAAGUUUAAUGUUGUUCUUGCUGGAUUCCAUCGUUUUUUUGGUCACCGGCCUCAUGGCGAGUUCGUCUCCCUGGUGUUCGAUUCGGAAACCAAUUCUUGGAGUCGAUCGGUUUCGUUGAUGCACGACGAGUUCACCCACAUGAAUCGCUGCCAAGUUGUGUUUUCUUGUGGCUUACUGCAUUGGUUGACGCAUAGCUGUUCUUAUGUGCUUGCUUUUGAUUUGAAAAGUGGAGUUUGGGGGAAAAUCUUGCUGCCGGAUGAAGUGCUGACGACAAGGUCUGGAUCCAGGGUUUACCUUCUGGAGCUGGAAGGAUCGGUGUCGGUCGUUCAGAUAACUGGGGUUUGGAUGAGCAUAUGGGUUUUAAGAAAUCAUGACACUGAGCAAUGGACUUUGGUUGAUAGAGUGCAUCUCCGGUGCAUCAGUGCGUUUGCUGCAAGCAUAUUUCCUGUGAGCCAGUCGAGAGAUGUCGCCUUCAUGGCGACGCAGAAGAAGAUUUUGAUAUACAACUUGAAGGGCAAGGUGUGGAAGGAGGUAUACGGUGCAAAUGGAACUGUGACAUAUCCACUGUGGUUUUCAUCUUAUGGUUUCAGGAGCACACUUUUUCCUUGUCAUCUUUAAGCGACCAGAUUAUGCCAUGCGCUUGGUCAAUAUUGAGUUUCUCUAACUAAUCAACAAGUGAUAUGCAUGACAUAUUAUUGCCCAGAGAUUGUCACACAAGGCAUAGUCAUCAUCCAUAUGGGAAUAAGCAGUCUGUCCUGCUGAUGCGGCCGUGACAGUGGAGGAGUUCUUCGAGUGGUUGCAGAAUGCAAUGCAGUCCGGCAUGUUUGAAGCCAACAGCCAACAGCAUAGCAAAUGAGAGCCCUUCUCCCAGAAUUGGCAGUUGCUUCAAGAACAACCUCUAACAAGAAGAAAGGUCCUAUGAAACCCUGUAAAAAACAUGACCACCUUAUCCUAUUAGCCAUAACAACACUCCUAAUCCUGCUUGAACAGAUGAUUACUUCGACCGGAGUCGCAUCAUCUGCAGUCACUGAUGCUAAACUAUGCUAGUGUGGAAAUCCAAUCCAGCAAGAUUUUGACUUUAUGCAAGUCUAGUGGUUGAAGAUUUAUACUUAUGUUGUAAGGUACUGUUGAGAAUCAUUUUCUGGCUGUGCAACAAAGGAUGUCAAAGCAUCAUGAGACACUUUUCAGUGUUAGACAGUAUACAUGAAAGUUGAUCUGUGUCAGACUAAUGAGUUGGCUUUGUUUCUUUUUGAAGUCUGUAUUCAGAGCAAGUUGAAAUGUAUGGUCAUUGUAGAC
This is an RNA transcript of Musa acuminata AAA Group (dessert banana), 1885 nucleotides long. It is a transcript of the gene named F-box protein At5g49610-like, with no coding region annotated. The transcript is spliced from 3 exons. Lineage: Eukaryota; Viridiplantae; Streptophyta; Magnoliopsida; Zingiberales; Musaceae. The record is from RefSeq and is a predicted model, not a curated record.